RNA transcript from Leptidea sinapis, 2686 nucleotides. It is a transcript of the gene named deoxyhypusine hydroxylase, with no coding region annotated. The record is from RefSeq and is a predicted model, not a curated record. NCBI's taxonomy places the organism in Eukaryota, Metazoa, Arthropoda, Insecta, Lepidoptera, Pieridae. The transcript is spliced from 5 exons.
UAUUUGAAGUUUUGAACUUUCUAAAUUGAAUUUUUCACUUGGCUCUUAAUUUUAUUUAAUUUUUUGUAAUAACAACGUAAAAAUGGUUAACAUUAGUGAUAGUGCUGUUAAAAAAAUUGGCAAAGUGCUAUGUGAUCAAAACCGGCCUAUGAAAGAGAGAUUUAGAGCUCUUUUUACUUUACGAGAUAUUGGUGGUUUAACUGCUAUUAACUGUAUCAAUGAGUGUUUUACCGAUGAAUCAGUGCUCUUAAAACAUGAGCUAGCCUAUUGCCUAGGUCAGAUGCAGGACAAAACUGCGAUACCUAUUCUAAGAAAUGUAUUAGAGGACAAAAAUCAAGACCCUAUUGUAAGACAUGAAGCAGGAGAGGCGUUGGGAGCAAUUGGGUGUCCUGAACUUUUUGAGCUGUUAGAAAAAUACCAGAAUGAUGAAGCGAUUGAAGUCUCUGAGACAUGUAAAAUAGCUCUACAAAGAUUGCACUGGGUUGCCUCAGAUAAAAAUAAAAAACUGUCAGAAAGCAGAUAUUUAUCUAUUGACCCUGCACCUCCUAGUUCUGAGGUUGAUGUAGAAAAGUUAAAAAGCACUAUGAUGAAUGAAGAUAUACAUUUAUUUGAGAGGUACAGGGCAAUGUUCAGCCUCAGAAAUUUGUGUUCAACUGAAAGUAUAAAUGCUUUGGGAGAAGGUUUCAAAGCAAGUAGUCCAUUAUUCCGCCAUGAGGUUGCAUUUAUAUUUGGACAGAUGCAAGACGAGCGCAGUGUGCCUUUCCUCAUAAAAGCAUUGGAGGAUACAUCAGAACAUGAGAUGGUCAGACAUGAAGCAGCUGAAGCACUUGGUUCUAUCGCUACAGCUGAAUGCACAGAGGUCUUAAAGAAGUACCUGACAGAUCCCAGACCAGUGGUAAGAGAGAGUUGCGAAGUGGCCUUAGAUAUGAGCGAGUAUGAAAACAGUCCGGAGUUUCAAUAUGCAAACACAUUAACAUUGGUAGACGGCUAAAUAUUGUUGUCUCCAUUUUAGUUUUCCAAAAUAUUUCAUUGUUGACAUUGUAUGUGGGGUGUUCAAGAAAGAGUGAGAAUGUGUAAGUUUUUUUUUUUCGAUAUAGUCGCCUUUUUGCCUGUUACAUGAAGAAUAUAUUUUAUCUAAGUUUAAAAUUCCCUUAUUAAUAAAAACUUCUUUGGCUAUGGCUUCAUCAUCUUUGAUUCUCUGUCCUUUCACAAACAAAUUUUUUUUUUAUUAUUAAUAUUCUAGCUCUACCAGCCAAUAAUUGCUUUUCUUUGGUUUCAUAGAGUUUGCACCAUUCUCAUUAUUUAUUGAACGCCCCACGUAAUUAAAAUUUUUGUUGUAAAUAUUGCAGUUGUGGUAAAAUCUAAAUUUUAAGAGUUUCUUCAAGAUGAACAAAUUUUUGUAAAUUAUGUCAAAAUAAUGAAAAAAAAAUUCUUUCAAAGAUACAUUGAAAGAUUUUUUUUUAAUUUUUUUUUAAACUGAUUAAAACUAGGGUAUAAUUCUUUCAUUCAAAGGUAAUUCCUACAGUAAUGACAUAAUUGUAUUCAUAUAUAUUUAUGUCUAGGAGAAAUAUAAUUGACCAGAAUAAAAACGAAUUUCAUAACCAUAAUAUUAUCCUUGCCCGUUACAUGUGGAAUUACCCAUAUUUUAAUUUUACCCCGUUUUGAUGAUAUUAAAUUAAAAUUGUAAUUAUGUUGUGGUGUGCUAUUGACACCAUUCUUGUCACUAAUGUUACAUUAUUGCAAAUGUCGGUCGCCAUAUUUAGUUUGUUUCUGUCUUAUGCUGCUGAAACUAAUAAAAAGCGCGAUAAUAUAUAUUAAAUUGGAUUGGCUAUUGAUAACAGUUAAUAAUAAAUUAUAACCAUCAUUAUGUAUACUGUACAAAAUCUUGUCGUAUAUCCAUACAUUUUUGAAACUUCUAUAGAAAAUUCCAGAUUGAAGGAAGUGCCAGGAAGCUUUUUUUUUAAAUAUUUUUGUAUUUAAAUAUUGAUGACAUUUUUGACUUAUUACUUAGUAACUUUAUUUAGUUUAAUUUAUUCCUAGUGUCUUUAUUAAUUAAUUUUUAUUGUUUUUUUUUACAUAAUUGUUAACAUUUUAACAGUAAAAAAACAUCUUUGGAAAUUAUUAUUGUAAUAGUACUGUUUUCGUUUUUAUUUUUACGAGAGACUUUAUAUUUCAGUAUUUUCAUAAAACACAGUACAUUUAUCGUUUUGUAAUAAAAUAGAACACGUGUGUGUUUUAAUGUGAAUUAUUUGUUCCCGCGUAAAUGUAUUUCAGUUUUGCGUAAAGUAUACGCGUUGGUAAUAAAUUGGCUGCGAUGAAAUGUGUAACAUUAUAAAAUAUUUUUUAAUAUUUGUACUACAUGUUAAUUUUGUGGCAUCAAACAUCCUCGACAUGGAACAGGCUUCAUUCUUCAGCUUCGUCCAGGAGACCAGGAUUAGUACGAGUACACUGGAAUUAGUGGACCAGCUAGAGGCUGCAGUUUGGGAAAAGUCAAAAGGAGAUCGCCCAGUUAAAAGAUACUUUGAAACAUACGACACGCCUUUUGUAGGACGAGGACGCCGGAACAGUUAUGCUACAUCAAACAAAUAAAUAUAAGUGUUUUUUAUGACAAGAAUUAGAUGUCUUCAUUUAUUACUGAAUUAAAUUACUCAAAAAUUUAUUUAAUCAUGUGAUAAGAUCAUCUUAC